Molecule: RNA transcript, 1097 nt
Organism: Tripterygium wilfordii
Lineage: Eukaryota; Viridiplantae; Streptophyta; Magnoliopsida; Celastrales; Celastraceae
Exons: 4
Source: RefSeq, a predicted model, not a curated record
CUCUCUCUCUCCAUCAAUUUCCCGGCGAAAAUAAGGCCUUUUUAUAAUCUCUUUGUGCAUACAAAUUUCUUUUUUCUUACAGAGACGCCGCAGACACAGAGAGGACAACGACAAAGAGAGUCAAAAGUUUUAGGAUUAAUGGCGAUGGAGCCAGAGAGAUCGAAUUCAAGGUCACUCCACAACUUCUCUUUGCCACUCCCCAAUUGGGGCUCUUGUAGAUACCUUCGCUGUGUCAAGGACUCCGAAGACUUGAACCGAUCUCUAUUUAUAAACCCAAUUCACGAUAAGCUCAAACCCGAUCUUGGAUUCUUGAAGAAGAGACCAAGAGUCUCUGUUGUUGAAGAGAGAGGCUGUAUUGAUGCUUCUGCGAAGCCAUGGAAUUUGAGGACUAGAAGGGCCGCGGCUUGCAAGGAUGGGAGGACGGCGAGUGUUUUUGUGGAUACAAAGGAGGAGAAGGUGGUAGUGGAGGAGAAGAGGGAUGAUGAGGAGAAGAAGAAGAAGAGAGUGAAGUUGUCGGUGUCCCUGUUGAAGGAGGAGAUCGAGGAGGAUUUCGCGGUGAUGCUCCGGAUUAGGCCUCCUAGGAGGCCAAAGAAGAGGGCUCGGAUAGUACAGAGGCACCUUGAUUCAAUUUUCCCAGGAUUGUGGCUAAAGGAAGUUACAGCAGAAGCAUACAAAGUUCCUGAUGUCCCUGAAUCUUCAUGUUUUUGAAUCUUGAGAUGAGAAGAGAUAAUUGUACUUGUUAUAUUGGAGUUUCAGCUCAUCUGCUUCCUAAAGAUGGUGCAUUAUAACCUGAAUUCAUGGUCUUUGGCUUACCGCUUAAUGCUGGAGAGAGAAAAACAAGCAGGUUGAAUGAAGAUGUAUAAAAGCCAACUCACCAACCCAAACUGCAGAAAAAGAUUGGCAUUAUAUGGAGGAAGUUAAUGUAGGACUGAGCCAACGUGUUGGCCAUCACCAUGAUUAGAUGAAAUUUGUCACAUAAAGCUUUUCCUUGCCAUUGGUUUGCACAAUUAGUUUCUGGAAGAUUUCAUCAGUCAGCUACUGAGUGCCUACUCAAGAUAUUAUUGGUAUCAUUCUCCUCAACUAGUCUUUUUCCAUCA